Molecule: long non-coding RNA, 1812 nt
Filed under: Hordeum vulgare
Lineage: Eukaryota; Viridiplantae; Streptophyta; Magnoliopsida; Poales; Poaceae
Description: long non-coding RNA (HVUL_LNC005114)
Source: RNAcentral
UAUUUGGUAAUUGUGGUGUAACAUAUUUGAGUCAAAUUGGUGUAUGUACGAAACCUAUGAACCAAAACUGAGCGGCAUCCUGGCUUCAUGUUGAUAAGUGUGAAAUACUUAUUUGUGAAGGAGAUGAGGUACAGAGUGUAGUGAAUGUGCGUGUCGUUAGUAGUAGGUAAGGCAAACAAUGUGAAUGAAUAUCCCUCUUGUGUUGCUAUGUAUCAGUGGAAAUAAUAAUUACUUGAAGGUUAAAAAUAUUUGUGACUCAAAGUAAAAUGGGUUGACAAGAGAACUACCUGCAGGUCAGGGAAACAUGAGCGUGCAGCUCUAGGUUCAUGCUAAUUUUUGCAGUCCUUUUUUUGCUGCCCAGUGGUACGAGCUAAAUAUUCUAAAGAUGUAGUAUGUUAAUCAAUAUUCUUGAUUUAAGACUACAAGUGAUGCUGAGCUGUUUCAGUUAUUACUGUAUUUAGGAACACUUGAUGUAAGAGUACAGAGUGAUUUUGAUCUGUUUCAGUUAUUACUGAAUUUAGGAGCAUCUUUGUAUGUCCCUGACUCCCUUUUCCUGAUAUAACAAGGCCUAGCCGGUACGUUUCAAUAUAUGCCAAUAAUUUACAUAGUGCUCUUGUACCAUUGGUUUGAGACACUGAUGACAAUUUCAGGCUUAUGCGGCGCUAUAUUUUCUUUGGACAUUUUGGACUGAAGAAAAAUUGGUGAACUUUCUAUAGCCAAUGCAUACUUGGUUGAGGACUAAAAAAUGAUGGAUUGUGUCCUUUGUCCUUUGCACUCAAGUACUCGGAAAGAAGGUCUGAGUGGUAAUAUGGGAGCAAAUGUGCUAACUUAAGCACAUGUUUGUGGUACCAAUCUGUAUUUGUAUAUGACGAGCAUUGACAUGAAACAGGCACCUAACAAAACACAUACUACUACAGGUCUCAAUUCCAACUGCAAGGAUGUACGUAGUGUGCAAUGUGCACUGUAUCCACUUGAUACUUGCAACAAAUCAUUCGAAUUAUCACACAACUGUAUGGGCCAAAAAAUACCUCAGUAAAUAAGUAGUAAUGGUCUUCAACCGGUUUCUCCUCGAAGUUCUCCAUCUUUUUUCCUCGGGCAGGAAACUGUAGAAUCAACACGAUCACUUCGAUCUGGAAGGUGGAAUGUCUUUGCUCAGACCGAUGGAGGGUCCUGAUCUUUCUAAGAAGAAGAGGAUUGUUGCCUUGGUACAUAGCUCCUUCACCGGACUCCCUUGCUCUAAGGUCAGAGGCACUGGGACUGGGUUGCGACGAGCUGCUUCGGAGUAAGCUAUUGGUCAACUUGGGCUACGAAAUCAUUGCGUGCGGGAGGGAGAAAAGGAGGGGGAUGAGCUGGCUGACCUCGGUGUCUGCGGCGGCAGUUGAGCAAGAUCUCGGGCGAUACUCCGACCUGAGGUCUCUGGCGGCAGCCAUUGGAGCUCCGGUCAUCCGGUGGUGGAUUUGGAACUGGAUGAGCGGCAGCCAAGCCCCACACACACGAGGCGUUUCUUUGAGUGACCGCUCACGUGCUGCACGUGGCCAGCGAUGGAGGCGCACGCGUGGCUGGAGCAGCCUUCGUGUAUGUUCUUGCCUAGACAUAACGUGAUUACUGUAUGUGUUGUCAUGUUGCCGCCUAAUCCAUUGUUUCUCGGUCAAGUCGUUCCAGAGAUUAUGGGUUUUGUAACCAAAACUGUGGCCUAAUUAUUAUUUUUCUCAAAUAGACAAGUAUGUGUGUUUGGCUUCCUUGUUUACCGGUUUAGCAUGACAAGAUUUUAACUCGGCUAUACUUAUGCUAGAGUAUACUACUCCCUCCGUU